UACGUAGGGGGCGAGCGUUGUCCGAAUUUACUGGGCGUAAAGCGCGCGUAGGCGGACUUUUAAGUUGUGGGUGAAAUUCCGAGGCUCAACCUCGGAACUGCCUGCAAAACUGGGAGUCUUGAGGUAUGGAGAGGGAAGUGGAAUUCCUGGUGUAGCGGUGAAAUGCGUAGAUAUCAGGAGGAACACCUGUGGCGAAGGCGGCUUCCUGGCCAUAUCCUGACGCUGAGGUGCGAAAGCCAGGGUAGCGAACGGG
Molecule: ribosomal RNA, 253 nt
Filed under: uncultured microorganism
Description: partial small subunit ribosomal RNA
Rfam family: Bacterial small subunit ribosomal RNA
Source: RNAcentral